This 315-nucleotide non-coding RNA is filed under the name Endocarpon pusillum Z07020. RNAcentral describes it as "Eukaryotic small subunit ribosomal RNA". It matches the Rfam family "Eukaryotic small subunit ribosomal RNA", at positions 606 to 867 of the family's 1831-position model. The record is from Rfam by way of RNAcentral. Lineage: Eukaryota; Fungi; Ascomycota; Eurotiomycetes; Verrucariales; Verrucariaceae.
AAAGUUGUUGCAGUUAAAAAGCUCGUAGUUGAACCUUGGGCCUGGCUGAUCUGUCUUCCUAAACGUUGUACGGAUUCGGUCGGGCCUUUCCUUCUGGGGAAUCCUAUGUCCUUUGUUGGGCGUAGUGGGGAACCAGGACUUUUACCUUGAAAAAAUUAGAGUGUUCAAAGCAGGCCGUAUGUUGCACGCAACCGUAUAGGACGUUAGGGUAGUUAGAACUCUGCGGUGGCGUCAUUCGGACUUCAGGAAUCUUAAUAUCACGCACCAACCACGCCAUAACAGCCUCGUAUUACCAUUCCUUUCCAUCAAGAUCUG